Molecule: ribosomal RNA, 518 nt
Filed under: uncultured Sulfurovum sp.
Lineage: Bacteria; Pseudomonadati; Campylobacterota; Epsilonproteobacteria; Campylobacterales; Sulfurovaceae
Description: bacterial SSU rRNA
Rfam family: Bacterial small subunit ribosomal RNA
Source: RNAcentral
UACGGAGGGUGCAAGCGUUACUCGGAAUCACUGGGCGUAAAGCGCGCGCAGGCGGCUAGAUAAGUUGGAAGUGAAAUCCUAUGGCUCAACCAUAGAACUGCUUCCAAAACUGUUUAGCUAGAGUCUGGGAGGGGAAGAUGGAAUUAGUAGUGUAGGGGUAAAAUCCGUAGAGAUUACUAGGAAUACCAAAAGCGAAGGCGAUCUUCUGGAACAGUACUGACGCUGAGGCGCGAAAGCGUGGGGAGCAAACAGGAUUAGAUACCCUGGUAGUCCACGCCCUAAACGAUGAAUGUUAGUCGUCGGGACUCUAGUAGUUUCGGUGAUGCAGUUAACACAUUAAACAUUCCGCCUGGGGAGUACGGUCGCAAGAUUAAAACUCAAAGGAAUAGACGGGGACCCGCACAAGUGGUGGAGCAAAUCCCAGAAAGCCAUCCGUAGUCCGGAUUGGAGUCUGCAACUCGACUCCAUGAAGCCGGAAUCGCUAGUAAUCGCGGAUCAGCAUGCCGCGGUGAAUACGU